Molecule: unclassified non-coding RNA, 179 nt
Organism: Salvator merianae (Argentine black and white tegu)
Lineage: Eukaryota; Metazoa; Chordata; Lepidosauria; Squamata; Teiidae
Source: Ensembl
GAGAAAGCAAUGGAGACAAAGGGCCGCUAUUAACCUACAAAUGCAGGCUAUUGCAGGGUUCAUUGCAAGAUUUGUCACACUGCUUAGCCAAUGAUGUGCUAGUAUGGCUCGAAGAGACCACCCUUCUCUGGGCUAAGAGGGUAAUUUGGUCUCCAUGCUCAUUUAAUCCUGAACCUUCU